RNAcentral lists this long non-coding RNA (234 nucleotides) under Mytilus galloprovincialis (Mediterranean mussel). Lineage: Eukaryota; Metazoa; Mollusca; Bivalvia; Mytilida; Mytilidae. The record is from RNAcentral.
CGAUCGAAACCAUGCUCUUUCACUUUCGAUUAAUCCAAAACUAAAAGCUAAACAAAAGACGGUCAAAGUUCCGUUUUUUCUUUUCAUUGUAAAGUAAAGUACAUGUUGUCAUGGUUGUAGACAGCUAUUACUCUGUUAAUUGUAACUAACACGCAAUACUACAUGUAUGUAAAAUUAUAAAAAGUUUGCCAACGAAAUCCCCUGGUUUUAUUGGUAAUUAACCAUACAGGGCAG